GAGACACCCCUAUGGAGCAGGACUUGCUUCAAUGGGGCUUUGGUACUUAUUGAGUCUGCCCCUUGGAUGUGUCACU
RNAcentral lists this microRNA precursor (76 nucleotides) under Myotis brandtii (Brandt's bat). Its description in RNAcentral is "mir-9229 microRNA precursor family". It matches the Rfam family "mir-9229 microRNA precursor family". Lineage: Eukaryota; Metazoa; Chordata; Mammalia; Chiroptera; Vespertilionidae. The record is from Rfam by way of RNAcentral.